AUUGAACGCUGGCGGCAGGCCUAACACAUGCAAGUCGAGCGGAUGAAGGGAGCUUGCUCCUGGAUUCAGCGGCGGACGGGUGAGUAAUGCCUAGGAAUCUGCCUGGUAGUGGGGGUAACGUCCGGAAACGGGCGCUAAUACCGCAUACGUCCUGAGGGAGAAAGUGGGGGAUCUUCGGGCCUCACGCUAUCAGAUGAGCCUAGGUCGGAUUAGCUAGUUGGUGGGGUAAAGGCCUACCAAGGCGACGAUCCGUAACUGGUCUGAGAGGAUGAUCAGUCACACUGGAACUGAGACACGGUCCAGACUCCUACGGGAGGCAGCAGUGGGGAAUAUUGGACAAUGGGCGAAAGCCUGAUCCAGCCAUGCCGCGUGUGUGAAGAAGGUCUUCGGAUUGUAAAGCACUUUAAGUUGGGAGGAAGGGCAGUAAGUUAAUACCUUGCUGUUUUGACGUUACCAACAGAAUAAGCACCGGCUAACUUCGUG
This 483-nucleotide ribosomal RNA is filed under the name uncultured bacterium. RNAcentral's name for it is "partial 16S ribosomal RNA". It matches the Rfam family "Bacterial small subunit ribosomal RNA", at positions 30 to 507 of the family's 1533-position model. The record is from RNAcentral.